GACGAACGCUGGCGGCGUGCUUAACACAUGCAAGUCGAGCGGUAAGGCCCUUUCGGGGGUACGACGAGCGGCGAACGGGUGAGUAACACGUGGGUGACCUGCCCUUAGCUCUGGGAUAAGCCUGGGAAACUGGGUCUAAUACCGGAUAUGACUCCAUGACGCAUGUUGUGGGGUGGAAAGCCUUGUGCGGCUAGGGAUGGGCCCGCGGCCUAUCAGCUUGUUGGUGGGGUGAUGGCCACCAAGGCGACGACGGGUAGCCGGCCUGAGAGGGCGACCGGCCACACUGGGACUGAGACACGGCCCAGACUCCUACGGGAGGGCAGCAGUGGGGAAUCUUGCGCAAUGGGCGAAAGCCUGACGCAGCGACGCCGCGUGAGGGAUGACGGCCU
Molecule: ribosomal RNA, 389 nt
Filed under: uncultured bacterium
Lineage: Bacteria
Description: bacterial SSU rRNA
Rfam family: Bacterial small subunit ribosomal RNA
Source: RNAcentral